GAUGAACGCUGGCGGCGUGCCUAAUACAUGCAAGUCGAGCGAACAGACGAGGAGCUUGCUCCUCUGACGUUAGCGGCGGACGGGUGAGUAACACGUGGAUAACCUACCUAUAAGACUGGGAUAACUUCGGGAAACCGGAGCUAAUACCGGAUAAUAUAUUGAACCGCAUGGUUCAAUAGUGAAAGACGGUUUUGCUGUCACUUAUAGAUGGAUCCGCGCCGCAUUAGCUAGUUGGUAAGGUAACGGCUUACCAAGGCAACGAUGCGUAGCCGACCUGAGAGGGUGAUCGGCCACACUGGAACUGAGACACGGUCCAGACUCCUACGGGAGGUAGCAGUAGGGAAUCUUCCGCAAUGGGCGAAAGCCUGACGGAGCAACGCCGCGUGAGUGAUGAAGGUCUUCGGAUCGUAAAACUCUGUUAUUAGGGAAGAACAAAUGUGUAAGUAACUAUGCACGUCUUGACGGUCCCUAAUCAGAAAGCCACGGCUAACUACGUG
This 497-nucleotide ribosomal RNA is filed under the name uncultured bacterium. RNAcentral describes it as "partial 16S ribosomal RNA". It matches the Rfam family "Bacterial small subunit ribosomal RNA", at positions 28 to 507 of the family's 1533-position model. The record is from RNAcentral.